This 537-nucleotide ribosomal RNA is filed under the name Trigonopterus sp. 110 AR-2022a. RNAcentral's name for it is "partial large subunit ribosomal RNA". Lineage: Eukaryota; Metazoa; Arthropoda; Insecta; Coleoptera; Curculionidae. The record is from RNAcentral.
GGCCUGUUGAUUAUAAUUUCAGGUYUGACCUGCCCGAUGAUAAAAAUUGAAUGGCCGCGGUAUAUUGACCGUGCAAAGGUAGCAUAAUCAUUAGUUUUUUAAUUGAAAGCUUGUAUGAAAGGUUUGAUGAGAAAUUUUCUGUCUCUACAAAAAUUUAUUAGAAUUUUAUUUUUAAGUAAAAAAGCUUAAAUGUACAUGGAAGACGAGAAGACCCUAUAGAGUUUUAUAUAAAAACUUAGAGAAAUUUAAAAGGUAAAAAGUUUUUCUAAGUUUUUAUAUUUUGUUGGGGCGAUAGAAAAAUUGGUUAAACUUUUUUUUCAUAGAAACAUUAAUUUAUGAUUUAUUGAUCCUAAUUUUUAGAUUAAAAGAUUAAAUUACCUUAGGGAUAACAGCGUAAUUUUUUUUAGAGUUCUUAUCGAAAAGAAAGAUUGCGACCUCGAUGUUGGAUUAAAAUAAAUAGUUGGUGAAGAAGCUAGCGUGAAUUAGGUCUGUUCGACCUUUAAAAUUUUACAUGAUCUGAGUUUAAACCGGCGUGAG